CGGUACGGGUACGACUGAUCGUGUGUCCUGGUGGGCUCCCAGGUGACAAGUCAGCUCUUGCUGGAUUUCUUUAUUUCUGUGGACAAGAGAUGAGCCCAAAACACAGCUGCUGAGCAUCAAUUUGUAGGACCCGUGUGUACGCCGCAGUCCUCUGCUGACAUUGCAGAGCAGACAGCAUUGAGGAUGUGACCUUGUCCAGCCUAAGAGGACACAGCUGUGUCCCUGCUAGAGCUCGCUGAGACCUGGCCUGCGAGGGAUGGAGCGAGGCAUGCCUGAGCCCAGGAAAGGCCGUGUGCUACCUGCCUUCCCAAAGUAUAGUGUUUUAGGAAAAUAAAUUAAUGAAAUGAAAAGAUGACAUUUGGUCACUCUCCAAGGACACAUGGGAUGGACAACAGGAAAGCAGCUGGACUCGGUGGAAAUGAGGUUUCCACACCAGCUACCAGGAGAGAGUGAUGCAGCUGCAGGAGCAGCACUGGGGCCAAUGGCCAGGGAAGGGCAAAGAGAUGCUGCUGGAAGCGUCCGAGGGCACCAAAAGGCCCUUUGCCCAGAGGCUGGGUUAUGGACUAGUGCUCCCUGAGACCUCUUCUGGCCCACCCUUCUGCUACUUCCACGGCAUCCCAGUCCCACAGGCAGGCACAAGGAUCUGCCUUCACUGCGAUGCACCCGUCCCCCACCCCUAAUUUGGAUUCAUUUCCCUCUUAAAGAGCUAUCACAUUAUUACAUUAUCACAUUAUGCAAACCAAACAUCACAAAAAGGCAGAUAGUUAACAAACAGACUGCGAGAUUAGGGUUUGCCUGUGGGAUCCAGCCUAAUCAACUGGCCUCCUUAUCUGCCUCUGAUCAGGGCGACACGCUUCCACAUCCCGCCGAGCCAGGCAGCGCCGCGGUCCCAGAGGAGUGGAACAGCAUCUCAAUUACAUAUCUGUUUUUUUAUCACGCUGCUGAAGUAAUGAGGGUCCCAAGCUCUAAACUGCUAAAUAUCACUUGAAGUCAGAGAGACAAAUAUGCACUAAUUAUGGGGAAAAGGCAGCGUCCAGACAGGCGCUCCGGUUGAGGAGCGUGGCUCCGCUGCUGCCAGCCCCCUGUAGGUGUUCGGAGCCACUUCUGCAUUUUCCCAGAGACCUUCUCUAAUUGUUGUGCACUUUUUGCAUGGCAACAGGACAUAGAAGCUUGCUGGGGAGGCACAGCCAACUUUGGAGGUGGAACACGUGAACCAACAGAAGGAGCACAGGGUGCCAGGUUUUCGGCCAAGAGCAGCGCUCUGUCCCCCCAGCAGGCUCUGGCUGUGCACCCUAAGGGAUAGCAGCUCACAGAGCACACAUCCCAUCACAAAUACCCUGCUUUGUGCACCCUCUGAAGGAGCUGGGGCAGAGGCAUGUUCUCACCAUGCCCACCACCCCUGUUCCUCACUCCCUUGGCUGCAGCUAAUCCUCGUUAGAUCAUCCCAUAUAACCUGUUCAGCUGUAAAUCGCUUCCUGCUGAGCACCCAUAAUACACAGAUUGGAGGUAACUUUACUCCAGAGAGCCAAUUAGUGCAAAUCUAGGCCUAGUAAUUA
Molecule: long non-coding RNA, 1556 nt
Organism: Oxyura jamaicensis (ruddy duck)
Lineage: Eukaryota; Metazoa; Chordata; Aves; Anseriformes; Anatidae
Exons: 2
Source: RefSeq, a predicted model, not a curated record